Molecule: ribosomal RNA, 427 nt
Filed under: uncultured bacterium
Lineage: Bacteria
Description: partial 16S ribosomal RNA
Rfam family: Bacterial small subunit ribosomal RNA
Source: RNAcentral
UGGGGAAUAUUGGACAAUGGGCGAAAGCCUGAUCCAGCCAUGCCGCGUGUGUGAAGAAGGUCUUCGUAUUGUAAAGCACUUUAAGUUGGGAGGAAGGGCAUUAACCUAAUACGUUAGUGUUUUGACGUUACCGACAGAAUAAGCACCGGCUAACUCUGUGCCAGCAGCCGCGGUAAUACAGAGGGUGCAAGCGUUAAUCGGAAUUACUGGGCGUAAAGCGCGCGUAGGUGGUUUGUUAAGUUGGAUGUGAAAGCCCCGGGCUCAACCUGGGAACUGCAUCCAAAACUGGCAAGCUAGAGUACGGUAGAGGGUGGUGGAAUUUCCUGUGUAGCGGUGAAAUGCGUAGAUAUAGGAAGGAACACCAGUGGCGAAGGCGACCACCUGGACUGAUACUGACACUGAGGUGCGAAAGCGUGGGGAGCAAACA